UACGGAGGGUGCAAGCGUUAUCCGGAUUCACUGGGUUUAAAGGGUGCGUAGGUGGCUAUUUAAGUCAGUGGUGAAAGCCCCGCGGCUCAACCGUGGAAUUGCCAUUGAAACUGAAUAGCUUGAGUACAGUUGAAGUGGGCGGAAUACAUCAUGUAGCGGUGAAAUGCUUAGAUAUGAUGUAGAACACCGAUUGCGAAGGCAGCUCACUAAGCUGUA
This 216-nucleotide ribosomal RNA is filed under the name uncultured bacterium. RNAcentral's name for it is "partial 16S ribosomal RNA". It matches the Rfam family "Bacterial small subunit ribosomal RNA", at positions 524 to 738 of the family's 1533-position model. The record is from RNAcentral.